GGGAGUGUGGCUCAGUGGCUGAGCACAUACUUUGCCUAUGAAAGGUCAUGGGUUCAAUCCCCAUUACCCUCC
Molecule: transfer RNA, 72 nt
Filed under: Mesocricetus auratus (golden hamster)
Lineage: Eukaryota; Metazoa; Chordata; Mammalia; Rodentia; Cricetidae
Rfam family: tRNA
About the family: Transfer RNA (tRNA) molecules are approximately 80 nucleotides in length. Their secondary structure includes four short double-helical elements and three loops (D, anti-codon, and T loops).
Source: Rfam by way of RNAcentral